Molecule: long non-coding RNA, 301 nt
Filed under: Mustela putorius furo (domestic ferret)
Lineage: Eukaryota; Metazoa; Chordata; Mammalia; Carnivora; Mustelidae
Description: lncRNA (ENSMPUG00000025841.1)
Source: RNAcentral
GACCAGUCCUGCAAGGCAGGGAGUGGGGAGAGGUGCUAGAAAAAUGUGUCCUUAGAGGGCUUAGAGAAGAAUUAAAAAACUGCGGUGACAGAAAGAAGCUGGCAGGAUCCACACAGAGGGAAGAGCAGGAGCAAAGACUCAGAGGCACUGGCCCUUUCUGCUGGAAAAGAAGUUCAAGUAACUUGCAUGAGGAUCCACAGCUAAUAUGUAGUAGAGCUGAGAUCCAGUGAAGACCUUUCCACACCAAAGCCAAUGAUCUUUCUACUACAUCACAAAACCUUUAAUAAACAUCAAGCUGGAA